ACGAACUUUUGGAGCUUGCUCCAGGAGUUAGUGGCGCACGGGUGAGUAACGCGUGGAUGAUCUACCCUUGAGUUGGGAAUAACAGCGGGAAACUGCUGCUAAUACCGAAUAAUAUCACAUUUCAAACUGUGAUCAAAGGCGGUGCAAGCUGUCGCUUGGGGAUGAGUCCGCGUCUCAUUAGCUAGUUGGUAAGGUAAUGGCUUACCAAGGCAACGAUGAGUAGCCGGUCUGAGAGGAUGAUCGGCCACACUGGGACUGGAACACGGCCCAGACUCCUACGGGAGGCAGCAGUGGGGAAUAUUGCGCAAUGGGCGAAAGCCUGACGCAGCGACGCCGCGUGAGGGAUGAAGGUUCUCGGAUCGUAAACCUCUGUCAGAAGGAAAGAAGUGUUAUGGGAGUAACUGCCUGUAAUUUGACGGUACCUUCAAAGGAAGCACCGGCUAACUCCGUGCCAGCAGCCGCGGUAAUACGGAGGGUGCGAGCGUUAAUCGGAAUCACUGGGCGUAAAGCGCACGUAGGCGGCUUUGUAAGUCAGUGGUGCAAGCCCUCCGCUCAACGGAGGAACUGCCAUUGAUACUGCUUAGCUUGAGUUUGUGAGAGGAUAGUGGAAUUCCAGGUGUAGGAGUGAAAUCCGUAGAGAUCUGGAGGA
Molecule: ribosomal RNA, 649 nt
Filed under: uncultured bacterium
Lineage: Bacteria
Description: bacterial SSU rRNA
Rfam family: Bacterial small subunit ribosomal RNA
Source: RNAcentral